GACGAACGCUGGCGGCGUGGAUUAGGCAUGCAAGUCGAACGGUAUCAUCCUUUCGGGGGUGAGAGAGUGGCGAACUGGUGAGUAACACGUAGGUUAUCUACCCUCAAGACGGGGACAACCCAGGGAAACUUGGGCUAAUACCGGAUGUGAGCAACUUUUAGUUGUUUGAAAGGUGGCGUAAGCUGUCGCUUGGGGAUGAGCCUGCGUCCUAUUAGUUAGUUGGUGAGGUAACGGCUCACCUAGGCAAUGAUAGGUAGGCGGCCUUAACGGGUGGUCGCCCACACUGGGAUUGAGAUACGGCCCAGACUCCUACGGGAGGCAGCAGUCGAGAAUAGUCUACAAUGGUCGGAAGACUGAUAGUGCGACGCCGCGUGAACGAUGAAUCCCUUCGGGGUGUAAAGUUCUUUUAUAUGUGAGCAGUGCUUCUUAUAUUAACAGUAUGGGGAAGAGAUAUUAGCAUAUGAAUAAGCAACGGCUAACUCCGUGCCAGCAGCCCGACGGUAAACACG
RNAcentral lists this ribosomal RNA (509 nucleotides) under uncultured bacterium. RNAcentral describes it as "bacterial SSU rRNA". It matches the Rfam family "Bacterial small subunit ribosomal RNA", at positions 28 to 527 of the family's 1533-position model. The record is from RNAcentral.